RNAcentral lists this ribosomal RNA (424 nucleotides) under uncultured bacterium. RNAcentral's name for it is "bacterial SSU rRNA". It matches the Rfam family "Bacterial small subunit ribosomal RNA", at positions 355 to 776 of the family's 1533-position model. The record is from RNAcentral.
UGAGGAAUAUUGGACAAUGGGCGCAAGCCUGAUCCAGCCAUGCCGCGUGCAGGAAGACGGCCCUAUGGGUUGUAAACUGCUUUUGUACGGGAAGAAACACCACUACGCGUAGUGGCUUGACGGUACCGUAAGAAUAAGGAUCGGCUAACUCCGUGCCAGCAGCCGCGGUAAUACGGAGGAUCCAAGCGUUAUCCGGAAUCAUUGGGUUUAAAGGGUCCGUAGGUGGACGAUUAAGUCAGGGGUGAAAUCUUGCAGCUCAACUGUAAAAUUGCCCUUGAUACUGGUUGUCUUGAAUCAUUGUGAAGUGGUUAGAAUAUGUAGUGUAGCGGUGAAAUGCAUAGAUAUUACAUAGAAUACCGAUUGCGAAGGCAGAUCACUAACGGUGCAUUGACACUGAUGGACGAAAGCGUGGGGAGCGAACAGG